UAGGGAAGUGAUAGAAAAGAAGCCUGAAAAGUUCAAAAUCGAGUGUUUGAAUGAUAUCAAGAACUUGUUUGUGCCGAAUAAACAGCCUUUCUAUGCUGCUUUUGGAAACAGGCCCAAUGAUGUAUUCGCCUACACGAAAGUGGGAGUCCCAGACUGCAGAAUAUUUACAGUGAACCCAAAGGGUGAACUGAUCCAGGAACGGACAAAGGGAAACAAGUCCUCGUAUUUCAGGCUAAGUGAGCUUGUGGAACAUGUGUUCCCACUGCUCAAUAAAGAACAGAGUUCUGCUUUUGUGUGCCCGGAAUUCAGUUCCUUCUGCUAUUGGCGACAACCAUUUCCUGAGGUGAACAUGGAAGACCUAGCCUGAACAGCUCUGCUCACCUGGAGAUGGGAUUUUGUAUCCAGUCAUUCAACUUCAGUUUAAAUGUGAAGAGAGAACGUCUUUUCUGGAGAUGCUAAUUUAUACAUUGGUACCAUGAGUCUUACUUGAGACAAUACUUUAAGUCUAUGGGUUUGGCACAAACAAAGAAAAUGCAGAGUUUCUGUUUGUCCUUUGACUUUUUAAGGCAUUUGAGAUUCGCUUAUGUGAUAGCAGCAGUACUGAGAUACUAGAUGGCAACACAAAGGUGGAGUUUUUGCUGCAUCUUUGCCUUUCCA
Molecule: non-coding RNA, 657 nt
Organism: Chelonoidis abingdonii (Abingdon island giant tortoise)
Lineage: Eukaryota; Metazoa; Chordata; Testudines; Testudinidae
Source: RefSeq, a predicted model, not a curated record